RNAcentral lists this ribosomal RNA (764 nucleotides) under uncultured Spirochaetota bacterium. RNAcentral's name for it is "bacterial SSU rRNA". It matches the Rfam family "Bacterial small subunit ribosomal RNA", at positions 585 to 1352 of the family's 1533-position model. Lineage: Bacteria; Pseudomonadati; Spirochaetota. The record is from RNAcentral.
AAGUUAGCUGUUAAAGACCUAUGCUCAACGUAGGGGGAGCAGCUAAUACUGUAUAGCUAGAGUACAGCAAGGGAUGGUGGAAUUCCCGGUGUAGGGGUGAAAUCUGUAGAGAUCGGGAGGAAUACCGAUGGCGAAGGCGACCAUCUAGGCUGAUACUGACGCUGAGGGGCGAAAGCCAGGGGAGCAAACGGGAUUAGAUACCCCGGUAGUCCUGGCUGUAAACGAUGUAUACUGGGUAUAGGCGACUAGACUUGUCUGUACCGAAGCAAACGCGUUAAGUAUACCGCCUGGGGAGUAUGCUCGCAAGAGUGAAACUCAAAGGAAUUGACGGGUACCGGCACAAGCGGUGGAGCAUGUUGUUUAAUUCGACGGUACGCGAAGAACCUUACCAGGGCUUGACAUGUACCUUACAGUGGAGGAAACUCUGAGGCCGAUAAGGCGUGGUACACAGAUGCUGCAUGGCUGUCGUCAGCUAGUGUCGUGAGAUGUUGGGUUAAGUCCCGCAACUAGCGCAACCCCUAUCCAUAGUUGCCAUCAUUAAGUUGGGCACUCUAUGGAGACUGCCGGUGAUAAAUCGGAGGAAGGUGGGGAUGACGUCAAGUCAUCAUGGCUCUUACGUCCUGGGCUACAAACGUGCUACAAUGGUAGCUACAAAGGGUAGCGAAGCAGUGAUGCGGAGCCAAUCCCAAAAAAGCUACCUCAGUGCGGAUUGCAGUCUGCAACUCGACUGCAUGAAGUCGGAAUCGCUAGUAAUCGUGGAUCAG